RNAcentral lists this ribosomal RNA (439 nucleotides) under uncultured bacterium. RNAcentral's name for it is "bacterial SSU rRNA". It matches the Rfam family "Bacterial small subunit ribosomal RNA", at positions 29 to 507 of the family's 1533-position model. The record is from RNAcentral.
AGCGAACGCUGGCGGCAUGCUUAACACAUGCAAGUCGCACGGGCAGUAGCAAUACUGUCAGUGGCGGACGGGUGAGUAACGCGUAGGAAUCUAUCCUUGAAUGGGGGACAACCGUGGGAAACUACGGCUAAUACCGCAUGAUGCCUGAGGGCCAAAGACGAAAGUCGUUUGAGGAGGAGCCUGCGUCUGAUUAGGUAGUUGGUGGGGUAAAGGCCUACCAAGCCUGCGAUCAGUAGCUGGUCUGAGAGGAUGAUCAGCCACAUUGGGACUGAGACACGGCCCAAACUCCUAUGGGAGGCAGCAGUGGGGAAUAUUGGACAAUGGGCGCAAGCCUGAUCCAGCAAUGCCGCGUGGGUGAAGAAGGUCUUCGGAUUGUAAAGCCCUUUUGGCGGGGACGAUGAUGACGGUACCCGCAGAAUAAGCUCCGGCUAACUUCGUG